UACGAAGGGGGCUAGCGUUGUUCGGAAUCACUGGGCGUAAAGCGCACGUAGGCGGAUUUUUAAGUCAGGGGUGAAAUCCCGAGGCUCAACCUCGGAACUGCCUUUGAUACUGGAGAUCUUGAGUCCGGAAGAGGUAAGUGGAACUGCGAGUGUAGAGGUGAAAUUCGUAGAUAUUCGCAAGAACACCAGUGGCGAAGGCGGCUUACUGGUCCGGAACUGACGCUGAGGUGCGAAAGCGUGGGUAGCAAACAGG
RNAcentral lists this ribosomal RNA (253 nucleotides) under uncultured bacterium. RNAcentral describes it as "partial 16S ribosomal RNA". It matches the Rfam family "Bacterial small subunit ribosomal RNA", at positions 524 to 776 of the family's 1533-position model. The record is from RNAcentral.